Molecule: transfer RNA, 94 nt
Filed under: Colletotrichum orbiculare MAFF 240422
Lineage: Eukaryota; Fungi; Ascomycota; Sordariomycetes; Glomerellales; Glomerellaceae
Description: tRNA-Thr for anticodon CGU
Rfam family: tRNA
About the family: Transfer RNA (tRNA) molecules are approximately 80 nucleotides in length.
Source: Rfam by way of RNAcentral
GCCUCUUUGGCUCAGUGGUAGAGCGUCUCACUCGUACCUCUUCGGGUGCAUGGAGAUGAUGAGAAGGUCCACGGUUCAAUCCCGUGAGGAGGCA